CGUACACUCCUACGGGAGGCAGCAGUGGGGAAUUUUGGACAAUGGGCGAAAGCCUGAUCCAGCCAUGCCGCGUGCAGGAUGAAGGCCUUCGGGUUGUAAACUGCUUUUGUACGGAACGAAACGGCCUUUUCUAAUAAAGAGGGCUAAUGACGGUACCGUAAGAAUAAGCACCGGCUAACUACGUGCCAGCAGCCGCGGUAAUACGUAGGGUGCAAGCGUUAAUCGGAAUUACUGGGCGUAAAGCGUGCGCAGGCGGUUAUGUAAGACAGUUGUGAAAUCCCCGGGCUCAACCUGGGAACUGCAUCUGUGACUGCAUAGCUAGAGUACGGUAGAGGGGGAUGGAAUUCCGCGUGUAGCAGUGAAAUGCGUAGAUAUGCGGAGGAACACCGAUGGCGAAGGCAAUCCCCUGGACCUGUACUGACGCUCAUGCACGAAAGCGUGGGGAGCAAACAUGAGUAGAUACCCCGGUAGUCCCAU
Molecule: ribosomal RNA, 477 nt
Filed under: uncultured organism
Description: partial 16S ribosomal RNA
Rfam family: Bacterial small subunit ribosomal RNA
Source: RNAcentral